This 1165-nucleotide long non-coding RNA is filed under the name Equus asinus (donkey). RNAcentral's name for it is "lncRNA (ENSEASG00005028789.1)". Lineage: Eukaryota; Metazoa; Chordata; Mammalia; Perissodactyla; Equidae. The record is from RNAcentral.
AAGAAAGAAAGCAGGUGAGAGUGUUGCAGUCAAGCUCCGGAGAAGCAGAACCUGAAACAGGGAUCCUCGGGCGAGGCGGGUGUUGAGGGAGGGCUCUCAGGAGAAACCUGGAAGAAGAUGCUAGGGAAAAAUGUGGUUCAAGCGAAGUCUAGCCUCAGCCUGACCCCAUGGGUAGCUCUGGAGCGUGACUUGCCCUACAGAGGUGGUUCCUCCUACAAGCACAAAAGCAAAUCAUGCUUCUAAAAAAAAAGAAAUUGGAACCUUACAGCAACUUGGAAAAUGGGCGUCCUCCGUAACCUGCUAUUCCAAGUGGGGUCCUGGCUUGGCGUCACCUGGGAACGUGUCAGAAAUGCAGAGUCUCAGGCCUUCCCGCCCUGCCCGGCUGAAUUGGAAUCUGCGUUUCACAGGAUCCCACUGACUCACAGGCACUGUAAGUGUGAAGAGCUAGUGCAACCCUCCUCCUCUCCCACCCCCGUGAAGACCACAAGUGUCCCCAGUUUGUGUGCAUUUGAGAGCCUUUUAAAAAGCACACUCUUCUAACCUCUCAGUAAUUACCUGCAAUUUUGUAGCCGCAUCUGAAACCAAAAUCCUCUUCAAAGCCAUUCAGCAGGGAGCUAACAAAACAUCAUCAUCUUGUCUGUCUGCUCCCACUCUGCCCCCCUCCAACCUGUCACCCCCCCAGUUGCCACAGAGAUCUUUUAAAAAAAAAAAAAAGAUAAAUAAAUCAGCUCAUGUCGCUCUCCUGCUUAGAAUCCUGCGGUGGCUUUCCAUUGCUCUGGGAACAGCCCGGCAUCCUCGCCACCGCCUGUCUCCAGCGCCCUUCCUCCUGCUCCUCACUCCUGACACACUGAUCUUCUCUCUGGGUCUUUGCCAUCUCUGCUCCUGUGCCCGAUGCCCUUUCUUCCUCUUUCCCUGGAUGGUUCCUUUUCAUCCUUCAUGUCUCAACUUAAAUGUCACCUCCUCAGAGGUGCGAGAGGAAAUGCCCACCUUGGGACUAGCACACCCUUGCCUGCCAGUGCUCUCUGCCACAGCGGCUAUGGUCAGGACUGUCUCCCCAUAGAUGUGUGAGUCCCAUGGGAGCGGGGACCUCCUGCCUCACUCAGUCACUCUCCUUUGUAUGCAGUACUUGGCAAAUGGCCUGCACACGGUAGGUUAAUACUCAAUA